RNAcentral lists this ribosomal RNA (274 nucleotides) under uncultured bacterium. RNAcentral's name for it is "partial 16S ribosomal RNA". It matches the Rfam family "Bacterial small subunit ribosomal RNA", at positions 523 to 796 of the family's 1533-position model. The record is from RNAcentral.
AUACGGAGGGUGCAAGCGUUAUCCGGAAUCAUUGGGUUUAAAGGGUCCGUAGGCGGAUAAUUAAGUCAGGGGUGAAAUCCCACAGCUCAACUGUGGCACUGCCUUUGAUACUGGUUAUCUUGAGUUAUAGGGAAGUAGAUAGAAUAUGUAGUGUAGCGGUGAAAUGCAUAGAUAUUACAUAGAAUACCGAUUGCGAAGGCAGUCUACUAUCUGUAUACUGACGCUAAGGGACGAAAGCGUGGGGAGCGAACAGGAUUAGAAACCCCAGUAGUCC